UUUACUUGUGGACACUGAUAUGAUAAAGGCAUUUUUGUUUUUUGUUUUUUAGCCAGUUAGCCAAAAAGCCAACCCUGAAAUAAUAUCAUCCCUUGUUUGAAACCCCCUUGAGCCUAUUAUUAUUUUUUUGUUUAAAACUCAUUACAAGCCGAGAAGUGAAAAACAAUGUUAUCAUCCUAUUCAAAGGGUUGAAAGAGUCUUGUAUGGAGUUGUGUGGGGUUGAAUAAUUAUGUUUAUAAUACUUCAGAAGUUGAUAGAAAAAGAAAAGAAAAAUAGAAAAAAAAUGAAAAAAAUAGAAGGAUGUAUACAUGUCAAUACAUACUCCUUAUAAAAAAGAAAAAAAGAAGAAGAAAAAAGAGAAAGGAGAAAAAAAUAUGAACGAAAACAGUUAAUAUAGAGUUGUUAAAGUGAAUGAACUAUUUUAUAAAUUUAACUUCCGCAGUUUAUUUCAAGUCUCUUUUGUCUCUUUGAAUUUUAGCCUAGUACCCCUUAG
This 493-nucleotide long non-coding RNA is filed under the name Lathyrus oleraceus (garden pea). RNAcentral describes it as "Pisum sativum (pea) long non-coding RNA (PSAT_LNC030993)". The record is from RNAcentral. Lineage: Eukaryota; Viridiplantae; Streptophyta; Magnoliopsida; Fabales; Fabaceae.